Molecule: long non-coding RNA, 1124 nt
Organism: Capsicum annuum
Lineage: Eukaryota; Viridiplantae; Streptophyta; Magnoliopsida; Solanales; Solanaceae
Exons: 3
Source: RefSeq, a predicted model, not a curated record
AAACGAUGUCCAGCCUCUCAAGAAGCAUCGUCUCAUUCUUUCCACUCCAAACGCAGGUUUUUCAAACAUAGAGUGAAAAUCUAGAAUCAUAGUUCUUCCAUUCCUCUUGUUCCGAUUUUCAAUAGUAUAGUAUCGAUUCAGGCAUCUUCUUCAUUUGUAACAAAUUUCUUUCCAUUUUCUUCAGACUUCUCUCUCCCAAUUUAUGGUUGAUAACUAAGAAAUAAUCAAGUUGAGGAUUUGGGGGAAAAUUCUAAGAGGCCAAGGAAUGUACGCAUAAAUUUGAAAAGUUGAGACGAGUGCCAUUUACAUUGUCGACGGAAUGUGUUUAUAUUAUCCUAUAUGGUUCAUGAGGGUUCCGGUUCCUAAUGUUAUGGACAUUUCCAGAGAUAUUAGUGAAGGAUGUUGCUAGGAAUCAUCAACAUGUGUAUUGACUAGAGUUAUUGUGUUCAUCCAGGCCCAUCUGGAAGAUGGGUUGCUGAGAUGAAGGACUCAUCUUAACGUGUGGGAUUAUGGCUAUGAAGAUGCUCCUAGGAAUCAUCAACAUGUGUAUUGACUAGAGUUAUUGUGUUCUUCUAGGUCCAUCUGGAAGAUGGGUUUCUGAGAUCAAGGACUCAUCUUAACGUGUGGGGUUAUGGCUAGGAACAUAUGAUACUCCUAAAGAAGCUGCUUGUGCCUAUGAUGAAGCUGCCUGUGCCCUACGUGGCGAAAAUGCACGAACCAAUUUCGCUUCUUCUGUUCCAAAUAAUCCUAAUACAAACGAUAAAUCGAAUAUAUUGCAGAGCUCUCAUGACACCAAACAUGAUCUUAGCUUUUCUUUGAUUAAAGCACAACUAAGUAAGAAUUUACAAAGCAUCAUGUCUAAGAAUUCAGAAAAAAAGUUAUCCAAGAGUAGAGUAAGUGAUCAUUUCACAUACAUUUGCUAGGAUUCCACUCUGAGAACAAUUAUGAUCACCAAUAUACCCAAACCAUCUUCAUGUAGACAUGAAUAUGGUAGUUAUCAACGGUGCUUCUUCUGAUUUUUUUUAAUUUUUUACUUAUAUGUUAUUUUUAUUUUUUAUUUAAAUAUAAAUAUAUUAUGCACAAUCUUGACGUUUUAUAGAUGUAAUUGGUAUUUUUGUAAUCAA